CACAAGAGCCUGGCCAGGGCUGCACCCAAGAUAGACCAAAAUGAUCACAAAUUUCACUCUUUUAUAAGUUUUGGUCCAUCUGCACAUCAGGGUUAAUUGUCCCAUCGCUGCUCCAGGUUAUGAAUCCCCAUCCUUAUUUCUGCUUUGGGGCUGGAACUUGUAAAGUCUGCCCUUGGUCCCAAGCUGGAAAAGGAAAUGUUGUGUCUGUUCUGUGAAGAGAGCUCACUGACACUGAACAUGGAGCUCAGAGCUGCACACCUGGGCCCCACACAAUGGGAAAAUCACAAAGCUAGAACUGAAGGCAUGGAAUGCCACCGGGCAGGUGCAGCUGCAGGGAGGGCAAACACAAGGCCCCCAGGUCUCGCUGGGAAAUCCCACACUGUGAGGAGAACAUUCCUGUUGUUUCCUAACCACACAUCUGCACACAUGAGGAUUAAAAUGCCCCUGGAACAGGAGGGUUGGAUGGC
This is a long non-coding RNA of Cyanistes caeruleus (blue tit), 467 nucleotides long. RefSeq lists it as uncharacterized. NCBI's taxonomy places the organism in Eukaryota, Metazoa, Chordata, Aves, Passeriformes, Paridae. The record is from RefSeq and is a predicted model, not a curated record.